UACGGGGGGGGCAAGCGUUGUUCGGAAUUACUGGGCGUAAAGCGCGCGUAGGCGGUUCGGUAAGUGGGAUGUGAAAGCCCUGGGCUCAACCUGGGAACUGCAUUCCAAACUGCCGAGCUAGAGUGUGGUAGAGGGAGGUAGAAUUUCCUGUGUAGCGGUGAAAUGCGUAGAUAUAGGAAGGAAUACCAGUGGCGAAGGCGGCCUCCUGGAUCAACACUGACGCUGAGGUGCGAAAGCGUGGGGAGCAAACAGG
This 253-nucleotide ribosomal RNA is filed under the name uncultured bacterium. RNAcentral describes it as "partial 16S ribosomal RNA". It matches the Rfam family "Bacterial small subunit ribosomal RNA", at positions 524 to 776 of the family's 1533-position model. The record is from RNAcentral.